RNAcentral lists this ribosomal RNA (497 nucleotides) under uncultured bacterium. RNAcentral describes it as "partial 16S ribosomal RNA". It matches the Rfam family "Bacterial small subunit ribosomal RNA", at positions 28 to 507 of the family's 1533-position model. The record is from RNAcentral.
GAUGAACGCUGGCGGCGUGCCUAAUACAUGCAAGUCGAGCGAACAGACGUGGAGCUUGCUCCUCUGACGUUAGCGGCGGACGGGUGAGUAACACGUGGAUAACCUACCUAUAAGACUGGGAUAACUUCGGGAAACCGGAGCUAAUACCGGAUAAUAUAUUGAACCGCAUGGUUCAAUAGUGAAAGACGGUUUUGCUGUCACUUAUAGAUGGAUCCGCGCCGCAUUAGCUAGUUGGUAAGGUAACGGCUUACCAAGGCAACGAUGCGUAGCCGACCUGAGAGGGUGAUCGGCCACACUGGAACUGAGACACGGUCCAGACUCCUACGGGAGGCAGCAGUAGGGAAUCUUCCGCAAUGGGCGAAAGCCUGACGGAGCAACGCCGCGUGAAUGAUGAAGGUCUUCGGAUCGUAAAACUCUGUUAUUAGGGAAGAACAAAUGUGUAAGUAACUAUGCACGUCUUGACGGUACCUAAUCAGAAAGCCACGGCUAACUACGUG